CAUAGACCACCUAUGCUGGAAUGCUUGGUGGUCCAAAGCUCCGGCACCUUAGGAUGGCUCUGCGACCUAUCAGGUAGUAGGGAGGGUAACGGCCUCCCUAGCCUACGACGGGUACGGGCGUUGAGAGACGUCGCCCGGAGAUGGACUCUGAGACACGAGUUCAGGCCCUACGGGGCGCAGCAGGCGCGAAAACUGCACAAUGCUGGCAACAGCGAUGCGGGAAUUCCAAGUGUCAGCACUAAGUGUUGACUGUUCCAUUGUCUAAAAAACAUUUGAAGUAAGGGCUGGGUAAGACGGGUGCCAGCCGCCGCGGUAAUACCUGCAGCCCGAGUGGUGGCCGUUAUUAUUGGGCCUAAAACGUCCGUAGCCGGUUGGGUAGAUGCCUGUGUAAAUCGAACGGCUUAACCGUUCGAAUUGCGGGUAGACCGCCCGACUAGGGACCGGGAGAGUCACGAAGUACUCCGGGGGUAGAGGUGAAAUUCUGUAAUCCUCGGGGGACUACCGGGUGGCGAAGGCGUCGUGAUAGAACGGCUCCGACGGUGAGGGACGAAGCCCUGGGCGCAAACUGGAUUAGAUACCGGGUAGUCCAGGUGUAACGCU
Molecule: ribosomal RNA, 600 nt
Filed under: uncultured archaeon
Lineage: Archaea
Description: bacterial SSU rRNA
Rfam family: Archaeal small subunit ribosomal RNA
Source: RNAcentral